GAUUACUUGUGGAUAUCCCCUGUCUAGCUGGAUCGUGUGGUAGGCCGCGUAGGUGACAGUUACGUUGGUCCUCUGUAGUCCACCUCUCGUUAGCAGGACGGGUAGGGUUUAUCGGCCUAUGGAUAAGCAUCCUUUGUGGUGUAAUCUUAUCACGUGGUUCAUCCCAGACAUAGACAUACCCCUUUGAAGUAGAGAAACCAUAGUUAUCCUCUCUAUUCUGCUACCAUCGCCCAUAUACUAGAAUUGCUCUACUCUCUAUUCCCAUAUUAUCACUCACUGUUAUCUUAUCUUUAAUAUUGUUCUUAUUCGAUUCUACCAUCUUUCCUAUUCACACCUAUCUAUCUAUCUUGGUUUAGUUAGAGCGUAGUUGGUUCUCCCGUUUCCCUGUGGAUACGAUAAAACCUUUAACUGGGUAAAAGCUUCAACGGUAUCCGUGCGAUUGCGGAUUAUCUGUGUGCGUAUAAAUACCAUAGUACACUCUAGUGCCAUGCUGGGGAUGACAACCUAGUAUUCAAGUGAUGUUAGCAAGUGUCAACAAGCAUUUUUGGUGCCGUUGCCGGGGAAACGGUUGCUGAGUUGACUACGAACUAGCUUAAUCAUUUUCUAAAAAAAAUAAAAAAUAUAUAUAUAUAUUUUCCUUAUAUCCUUUGCCUCAUCUCUGCUAAUCUUUCUUCUUAUCUAAUCCUUGAUCUCUGGUCUAUCAUGAAUUCAAACAUGUCUAUCUAUGAAUUUCAUAGACCUACGGGCACACAUCUCGAACCACCAAAAUCUUCAAAGCCUAUCAUAGCAUCUAGUUUUGAGAUAGACCCCGAAUACAUAGAAUUUGUUCAAAAACAACCUUUCUCAGGAGAAGGUGAGGAAAACCCAUACACACACCUAAGAGAGUUUUAUCGAGUCUGUGACCUCCUUCGCAUAGAAGGAAUGUCCGAUGAGACCCUUAAAUGGAAGCUCUUUCCGUUCUCUUUAACAAGAAAAGCUAGACAUUGGUACAAACUCAAAAUAGGGAGUGUUCAUGGAGAUUGGAAGGAGUUAUAUAGUAGUUUUCUUUCUAAAUAUUUUCCAAUCUCCAAAGUGGCGGAACUUCAGCGUGAGAUUAUUUCUUUUAGACAACUAAAAGAAGAAUCUCUUAGGAAAUCAUGGGACCGCUUUAUUAACCUUACUCUCACAGGCCCAAAGCUUUCUAUUCUAGAAGAAGUUCUUCUAAUUCACUUAUUUGAUGGCCUUAGUGGGGAAAAUAAGGAAACCUUGAAUACAACCUCUAGAGGAUCCUUCUAUCACCAACCUGCUAGUGAAGCUUGGAAUUUGAUUGAUUUAUUAAGUGGAAAGUCUCCUAGCUUUUAUAUCCCUGAGAAAGAGACAGAACCAGUUCCUAGACAAGAAGAAGAAGUUUCGAUAGCCAGAUCACAACCACUUCAAAUCCAAACUUUAGCUAUCGAUCCUAAACCAUCAAUACCCCAAAAUUCUCCAAGGGAGGAAGGAAUUCCAACCUUAAAUCUUUCAGAUGCUGAUGGUUUAGACUUCUGGUUCCAUAAGAGACCUUCAAGCAGGGAUAAUUCAAAUCCUCGCAAUAAUGGUUCUCUUAGAGAAUGUCCUGGUUCCUGUUAUGAAGAAGUCGAGGAUGACAUAUCAAGUGAAGGAGAGCUAAGCCAUAUUGAAAAUUCUAACACCUCCCCUUUCCUGAUCACAAGUUCUAAAUGGCUAGAAUGUGUAGAAUGGAUGGAUAAGGAAGAAGCCUUAAUGAAUUCUGACUUUGGUUCAAUUUCAAAUGGUGAGUCCUUGACUCCCUUUGAAGAUGGGAUUCAUCCAACUAUAGAAGAGGACAUAAGUGAGACCAAUCCAAGAGAAACUCUAAACAUUCAGAUUGGAGACGAAGAUAACAUUAAUGAGCAUGGAAUUUAUUUCAUAGCCACUUUGUUUACUCCAUGCUCAUAUGCAACAUCUUCCCAAUCUAUUGGUCUCUCCAACAUCACCACAUUUGAUAUCUCCAACCCCCUCUUCCUUACUAUUUAUAAAAACUUUAAAAGGGCGGUUGUCGAUGCAUAUGUCUAUAAUAAAUAUUGCAGAUCUCAUUGAGUUGAUCUUAAUAUAGGUCAGCGUUGGAAGGGAAACCACUUCGCCGACAUAAAUUGAUGGUUUCCCAAGGACAAGCUUAGUGUCCUAAAAUAAGCACUGAACAGAUUGUAACAUGAGCUUUUAACAUUACCUUGUGUAUUGAGCAUAUAAGGAUAAUUGUAAAAAUAUUCCUUCGGAUAUUCUUGUCACUAACCUUUCCAGGAUUGGAGCAAGAAGAUUGGAUGAAUGACAAGCACAAGGUAUGUCCAACCAAUCAUCAUGCAACACUGAAUUAAAUUCAUCCAAACUUGAAUUCUACAAAAUUCAAGCUUGGGGGAGUACUUUACAUAAAAACAUCCUUUGCCAUGUUGCUAUGUUGGUUGUCCCUACCUUUAAGACAUGCUCAAUUUGUUAAAUACUAAUCACACUACUUCAUCCCCACUUGAGUAGAUCUCUAUAAAUGCUGUCAUGUUACCUUUGUCUAUUUACUACUAAGUGUUAGUUUGGAAGUACUGCACAUACUUCUAUUGGCUUUUAAAUUAAGCAUGGUGCUUAGGUUAAACAGCCUUCCUUAAUCUGAUUAGACAUGGAGUCUAGUUUGGUUAUUGAACUAAAAACUGCUUGUGUAGACAUUGGUAUAUUUUUGUCGGACUAACCCCUGCAGAAAAAAUUUCAAUAUCGAUUUGGGAAGUCCUGAGAUAAACUCACAUCAGAGACGAAGAGAGUGACACAUGAAGUUUAUCAAUUUGCACAAGUAGGACAUAGCUCAUUCAUCAUAGAGAGAUCAUCCAUGGAGGGUGCCACAAACACGAUGCACAACCGCUAAGAAAGGAAAGCUUCCACAAGGUGAUACUGUACCAUCACUAUUCAGGCAAGGUAACAUCUUAAGGUACUUGACUAUCACUUUUAUAAGCUUCUCCUUGGUUCUGGCGUUCAUAUAAAUAAAAGAGACAAACAUGUAUGAUUUACAACUCUAAAUUAAUCAACCCAACUGGUUCAACAUGUUUAGUCCUUUAAUCUUUGUUCCUAGUACUACCUCCAUGAUCCCACACUCCUAAUCAUAUGAGCUAAAAUGUUACACAUUCAAUCAUUGAGAGAUAUAAAGAAAAAGACAUAUACAUAGAUAGAUUAUCUUUCCAUAAGGUUGAGCGAUCUGAUCUGACAAAUGUUAUAAGUGCUACACUCAUGAACUUUUCAUCGAUCAACUUUGUCUUGCUCACUAUGCUUAGGCUUAGAGAAGAACAAAUACACUUUAGGUUCUGUUGGUGUUUUCCACCAAUAGGACCCAUGCACUUGAUCUCUGCCUUGUAUCCAUGAGCAGGUACACUUCGAGCAAAACAUGGAGGAGUUUUAUAACUCUCAGACUCUACCAAGUGAAGGACCUGGAUCUACGAGCACAAACACACUGAGCAGGGUACUGCCAACACCGCACUUCGAACUGCUGGGCAAACGAAGAGGUGCAGACGUCAAGGUCCGCACCUGAAUCAAAUGACGCACCUGAAGAAUGAACACGGUGAGAAGUCUUGUUAAGAAGACUUAAAACAUUGAACCCUCGCCAAAAGGUAAGAUCGGUAGUUAUCCAUAUUUAUCCUUUCUGGAUUCCAUUUUCCCUUUAAUUAUUUACUUUCCUUAAAUAGAUUAUUAGUUAAUCAUGCUAUCUUGAAAAGAAAAUAAAAAUGUUAAAAAAAUACUAAGCCCCAUGUGAGUAUACGAGUGACAUAAAACCCAUAAGUACCUUCACUGUGGUGGCAUAAAAAUAAAAUAAAUAUUUCUUUUCUGCUUUAUAAAAUAAAAAUAUAAAAACAGGGAGUAAUAUUUAUUGAGGAAGCUCAACAUGAUGAAGGCUAGAUAUUUAUGCUAACACUUAAUUAGUUCCACAAGCUUUGUUGUCUAUUUGAGCUCCACAGAAUUUAAGAAUCAAGAAGACUAGCACAUGGAGGACAUUCUAAUCGCUGUCAGAAUACUGCUGACUUUCAAAUACACCUCUGCCACCUGCUAGCUACAUCAAGAGAAAUUACGUCAAAAUUCAGCUUGGGGGAGAGCACCCCCAUUUAUCUCGCUAAGUAUUUCUACCUAUCUUUAUACUUAUAUUAUGUUAGAAUAUUAAAAUACAUAAACUAUGAAAAACCAAAUAAAGAUUUUGUGCUUAUAUAUAUCUUUUGCUUAGUGUGUUUAAUAAAUAAAUAAAGUGGCUAUGCUAAUCUGAAUCUUAAUAAUAAAACUCUAGCAUGGAUAUGAUGAAUAGUUGCUCUGCCUAAUUUGCAAAUUUGAAGUUCUCUAUCAAGUUUAGACAUAACUGUUAUAAUUUAAAGCUUGCUCUAGAUCUAAACUUGUGGGAUGAAAACUUGAUCUAAAAUCUAAGUUGUUAACGGAUAUGAUAUGGGAAGGUUGAGCUGCUGUUUAUCUGUUCCUAGAGAUGCUAGAAUUCUGGAGAAUUUUAUCUUUGAAAAAUAUGUAAAAUAUUGCAUGAUGAGUUCCUGUAUGAUGAGAGUUUAAAUUCCUACCACAGCCAUAUAUACAUGCUUGCUAGACUUUGAGCCACACAUUUACUAUUUACUGCUUAUGAGCAUUGAGUGUGGUCAAGCUGUGUAGACCCUUAGGAGCUUGUCAUGUGGUUAAAUCAAGAUUCACUUGCACGUUCACUCAUAUAUGCUACUUCUACUCUGGAAGUACCAUCCACAUAUAUCCAUCCAUGUCCAUCUACAGAACCACCCAAAAAUAUUCUACUCCUAAUCCGGGAGAGAAUAGCCAAAAAUAUUUCUGUUUUCCCUUGUGAAAUAAAUGCUCAAGUUAUCUUGCUACUACCAAUUGCUAUAUUAUCUCAAGAGAUGAGUGCUCUGGAAAAAAGAAAAGAGAAGAAAAGAAAAAAAAAUUAACGAGGAAAUAAAAAGGGGCAAGUGCCCGGAACCUCGAAAGAAAGAAAAAGUGAGACGAGAGGUAAAAAUGGACAAGUGUCUGACAGUAGAAUUAGGGGUACAAGAUACCCACCUGAGAGGAAAGAAAAAGAAGAGCAUCUCAUUCUUCUCAUAAAGUUUCAAAAAGCAAGGAAGGUAUGUAUCCCCUCAAAAGAGCAAAAGUAGAAUUAGACUUUCACCAUUGUUAGCACCAUCAUCACCAUACACCAUUCAUUCGCCACACAUGCACAUCUUGAUUUGGCUUAUUGAUUUGUUUCUUUGGAUCCAUGGUUUGACUAUACAAUAAAUGUCUUUUAAGUAUGUAUACUUUAUCUCCCACCUAUGAGCUCAGAUAUUAAAGCCUUAUUAGAGUAGGGUGAGAGAGAAGGCAAUGUCACUAUGCCUUAUACCACAAAUACCACAUAUCUUGAGAGAAGGCAUAUACCAUCACUGCCUUUGUAAGGAUCCAGAAAUACCACAAAAGAGAGAUUUAGAGAUUCAUACAAGGAAUCUCUGAGUUUUAUUUGAAAAUCUGCAAAAACUCCAGAGCUAUAGCUGAUCAAGAAUAAGAGACAUGGCACUUGGCUAGACUGUUCUAUCUUUUAACUACUCAAGAUAGAAGUGAUUGUUACAAGUCCCAUGGUGAAACGUAAAGUAAGUAAGUUUUAGUUCUUGACAGUUUACUCUAACUCAGAGAUGAGAUCUUAUUUAAAAGCAUGUGUACCAUCAAUUUUUUAAGAUAUUGCAACAACUUCUGAUCCAUUGCUGAGUCUAUCCUUGCUCAGGGACGAGCAAGAGGUAAGCUUGGGGGAGUUUGUUGACGGUCCUUAAGUAUCAAAUUUAAUUAUCAAAUAAACAAAGAAAAGGAUCCAAAUGAAAUCAACAUCUAGACUUAGGGUUUUAUCUGACAUAAUUCCACGAGUUUUGGUGUUUGUCUAUUUCUGCAGGGGGUUAUCAGGAAAUACGGAAGAAAGACCCACACGUUGGGAUUAUAUAGAGAUAUUAACGUGCCACGCAAUUAUCUUACAUCUAGAAGACUCCAGAAGCCACGGGAAGGAAGCAGAGGCCGAAUGGGGCCAGAGGCAGUGCGCCCACCCUCCUGCCCUGGGUGCCCGCCCUGACUUGGAGCCCAAUCAAGACUCUUUCUAUCGGGAGAUCUCCACCGACCUAAAGGACCAAGGAUAACCGUUCAAUCAAUGUCGGUUUGAUCCGACGGCCCAGGUUCAAUUGAAGUGACUAUAUAACCAGACCCCCUAGCCCCUGGAGGAGACACACCCCUUGAUCAUUAUUCAUUAUUCAUAGAUAGAGCAAAAGCUAGGGUUUAGAGAUGAGAGCUCUCCUCUCUUCUCUAAACUAGAGUAGAUCUAGAUAGUAGCAAGAUGGAGAGCCAAGGAGGAUUAGAGGAGAGGCCGGCCUGUUGGUUCUUCCUCCAGUUGUACUUCGUCAUGAUCAAGCUCUAAUCAAGCUUGCUCAUGGGAUGACUCUGGUAAUCUACUUCUAAUUCAUUAUGCAAUUACUAAUCAUGUAUGUUCUGGUUCACAACUCUUUUGAGUACUUCUAAUCUAUAGGACGCUAUAGGUUAGAGUUGUAGUAUAGGUGUAAGCGAUGUGCUUAGAUCUAGAUUACUUGUGGAUAUCCCCUGUCUAGUUAGAUCGUGUGGUAGGCCGCGUAGGCAACAAUUACGUUGGUCCUCUGUAGUCCACCUCUCGUUAGCAGGACGGGUAGGGUUUAUCAGCCUAUGGAUAAGCAUCCUUUUGUUGUAAUCUUAUCACGUGGUUCGUCCCAGACAUAGACAUACCCCUUUGAAGUAGAGAAACCAUAGUUAUCCUCUCUAUUCUGCUACCAUUGCCCAUAUACUAGAAUUGCUCUACUCUCUAUUCCCAUAUUAUCACUCACUGUUAUCUGACCUUUAAUAUUGUUCUUAUUCGAUUCUACCAUCUUUCCUAUUCACACCUAUCUAUCUAUCUUGGUUUAGUUAGAGCGUAGUUGGUUCUCCCGUUUCCCUGUGGAUACGAUAA
This 6964-nucleotide long non-coding RNA is filed under the name Sorghum bicolor (sorghum). RNAcentral describes it as "long non-coding RNA (SBIC_LNC006820)". The record is from RNAcentral. Lineage: Eukaryota; Viridiplantae; Streptophyta; Magnoliopsida; Poales; Poaceae.